AGUGAACGCUGGCGGUAGGCCUAACACAUGCAAGUCGAACGGCAGCACAGUAAGAGCCUGCUCUUACGGGUGGCGAGUGGCGGACGGGUGAGGAAUGCAUCGGAAUCUACUUUUUCGUGGGGGAUAACGUAGGGAAACUUACGCUAAUACCGCAUACGACCUACGGGUGAAAGCAGGGGAUCUUCGGACCUUGCGCGAUUGAAUGAGCCGAUGUCGGAUUAGCUAGUUGGCGGGGUAAAGGCCCACCAAGGCGACGAUCCGUAGCUGGUCUGAGAGGAUGAUCAGCCACACUGGAACUGAGACACGGUCCAGACUCCUACGGGAGGCAGCAGUGGGGAAUAUUGGACAAUGGGCGCAAGCCUGAUCCAGCCAUACCGCGUGGGUGAAGAAGGCCUUCGGGUUGUAAAGCCCUUUUGUUGGGAAAGAAAAGCAGCAGGUUAAUACCCCGCUGUUCUGACGGUACCCAAAGAAUAAGCACCGGCUAACUUCGUG
RNAcentral lists this ribosomal RNA (492 nucleotides) under uncultured bacterium. Its description in RNAcentral is "partial 16S ribosomal RNA". It matches the Rfam family "Bacterial small subunit ribosomal RNA", at positions 29 to 507 of the family's 1533-position model. The record is from RNAcentral.